Molecule: ribosomal RNA, 253 nt
Filed under: uncultured bacterium
Lineage: Bacteria
Description: partial 16S ribosomal RNA
Rfam family: Bacterial small subunit ribosomal RNA
Source: RNAcentral
UACGAAGGGAGCUAGCGUUGUUCGGAAUCACUGGGCGUAAAGCGCGCGUAGGCGGCUUUGCAAGUCGGGUGUGAAAUCCCCAGGCUUAACCUGGGAACUGCAUUCGAGACUGCAUUGCUAGAGUAUGGGAGAGGGAAGUGGAAUUUCCGGUGUAGCGGUGAAAUGCGUAGAUAUCGGAAGGAACAUCAGUGGCGAAAGCGACUUCCUGGACCAAUACUGACGCUCAUGUGCGAAAGCGUGGGGAGCAAACAGG